CAAAACCAAAAUAACAAAGAAUCAAAAUCUACCGAGACUGAAACUUGAUAGUGUGAGCCUUUAAGUUGAUAUGACUACCUAGUUUUGCAAAAUGUCAACUAGAGGAAACAUGAAAAGAAACAAAGUAAUAUUAUGUAACAACCCAUUUUUUAGUGAAAUUGUAACAUUGGUUUCGGGACCACAAAUCUGACUCGAGAAUAAAAU
RNAcentral lists this long non-coding RNA (204 nucleotides) under Gossypium barbadense (sea-island cotton). RNAcentral describes it as "long non-coding RNA (GBAR_LNC001629)". The record is from RNAcentral. Lineage: Eukaryota; Viridiplantae; Streptophyta; Magnoliopsida; Malvales; Malvaceae.